RNAcentral lists this long non-coding RNA (6436 nucleotides) under Fragaria vesca (wild strawberry). RNAcentral describes it as "long non-coding RNA (FVES_LNC000508)". Lineage: Eukaryota; Viridiplantae; Streptophyta; Magnoliopsida; Rosales; Rosaceae. The record is from RNAcentral.
GGCAGCAACCCCUACUGCAUAACAAUAAAGGAAUACAUGGACAUCAACGGGUACGAAAGUAAGGGAAACCUAACACAUCCAUAGUAAGAUACUAAGAUACUGAGUGUCCCUUUCACAAAGAAAAAAUAAAAAGAGAAAAAGAUUCGAGUGAUCAUAGAGGGAGGAUUUUGAUGCCAAACCAACAAACUAAUUUGAAGCCAAACCUAAGUUUGUCAAGCUAUCUGCAACUCAUGAAUACCCCUCUUUCAGAAUGUGAGAGCAACGAAUCGGUCGAACACGAUUUAAGCAUGUUCAUGACUUAGCAAUUAAUAGAGGCCAUGGUGGGAUCUCCAGCCUGUUUGAGCCCAGUAGGUACUUUUGGUCCAAGACUCGGGGUACGUUUUGAAUAACAUUUGGGCCAGUACCUGUGGCCCUUUUUUAAUGUGAAGCCCACGAAGGGUGGCGAAGUCUGGCAACACGCGAGCUGGAGUUUGGCAAAGAUUCCGAUACCCCGCGGGAUUCGAUGUCCUUGCGGGAUCCUUUGUUUCAGUUCGUGUAGGAUUCUGCAGUACAUGGCGAGGUAGAGUUGGAAAUGGGCUGUAAUACUCCGCGGGAUAUGAUCGCUUAGUGUUCGAGUUCGCGUACGACGCUACAGUGAGGUGAUGCGGGGUAGUGAGCACGACCUAGGCGAAGUCUGUUUUGGACACGUGUUGCAUGGAUCGCGCGGCUCGCGAGCUGGUCGUUUCCUGGUGGAAUUCUAAUUGCUGAGGCCGAAUGGAUUUGUGAUUAGGUCUCUGCGAAUUGCUUGCGGAUCGCUAUAUAAGGGAGCUUGACACAACGAACAAAGGACACAAUCAAUCAUACAAAACAACUGCAAAUCUUCGAGCAUCCUCGAAACCCUAAGUUCUAAGUGUACCUCGCCUUAGAUUUCAGAGCCCGUCUGGACUCGCCUCUCUUUCCCAAUUGUUGCUCUGCUCGCUUCGAACAGCGAGUAUCGAUUCAUAGGUGACUAGAUAGUUUGCUCGUAAUUCCUCACCCGCGAGGUGACACCGGAGCUCUACUUCGCCUGAUUAGAAGUCAAGAACGCGCACCGUUCUCGUUCCGCGUCCGCGCGGUGGCACGCCCUGCAAACCCUAAUUUACUUUUGGUAGCACAAGUUACCUCUCUACCCCUACUGAGGAUCGUGGCCAAAACAUUGGCACGCCCAGUGGGACCGGGAGUAUAACAUUCUCCCCACCAUUGAGAAAUCAGGCGGAUCCCCAUAUGGGAGACCCUCGAUUUCUUGUUUGAAACAUAAAUCUCCUCAAUACAAGCCCCAUAACAGCGCGGCUUGCCGAUCUCUCACCCAAGAAGAGGUUCUCGCUCGGUUUGGCAACCCCGACCAUAGCGAAACCACAAUGACAGGUUCACGACCAACCCAAGACGCAGGACUUACUCUGCCCGCGGAUGAAGUCCGCCAGAUGUUUGGGGAACUGAAGAAUGAUCUCGACUCGCUCAAGAGGGAGCUCGGCUCGAAGGUCGACACCACCCAGCAAAACAUUGACUCGCUCAGCCUGAAAGUCGACACCACCCAGCAAAGCGUCCAAGACCUCUCUGAACAGGUCACGAAAGAGAGAACUAUCUGGCUCGCUAACCAAGAAAACCUUUCUAGGCUCAGCGAGGAGUUUAACUACGUUGCGGGUAAAGUCAGGGAAGAUAAGGACUUGGUGGACGGCUCCCUUCAAAGGAUCCAGAAAGAUUUGGAUCAGAGCAAGGCGGCUUUCACAAAAACCCUGGAUGUGCAAACCCGUCGCUUGGACGAACACGACACCAAGCUACAACAACAGCAGGACGCUUCUUUCUUUGGAAGUAAGAAUAGCAUGGAAAAGCUUGAGGACUACAAGGAGCAACAUGAUAACUUGAGCUUAAGGGUCCUGCAGUGGAAGACUGGAUGCGGUCUCAAGCACCACAGAAAACCCUGGAUGUGCAAACCCGUCGCUUGGACGAACACGACACCAAGCUACAACAACAGCAGGACGCUUCUUUCUUUGGAAGUAAGAAUAGCAUGGAAAAGCUUGAGGACUACAAGGAGCAACAUGAUAACUUGAGCUUAAGGGUCCUGCAAGUGGAAGACUGGAUGCGGUCUCAGGCACCAAAGAAUCAUGCUAUGAACUUAAUUAGUUCAAGUGCAACUGAGGGCUCAAGGUAUAUUCCACCUAAUGAACGCCCUAGAGGAAAUCCAAGGGUCGGGGCCCAGAAAACUCCCCAAUUCACAUUGGGGGCCAGUUCGUCAAAAAUGCCACCCCGUCUACCCUCGCCGGGCGGCCUGGGAGUCACACUCAGGGGCACUGGUGGCUUCCCAUCUCAAGGGAUCGGGACACCAGAUGAUCCAGUUAUAGCUUAUUCCAGUUCGACCCCUAAGAACAUCGGGCAGGCCCCUAGCCUCUCUGCAUGGCACGGCCACGAUCAGGGGGCAGAAUCCACAUCAGUAACGGCAGCAGAUUGGUGCCAGCUCAUCUCGAGCAUAGUCAAGGAGCAAACUGGAAAAGGUGACGCUAGCUUGCAUUAUCGUGAUCCCUAUCCUGAUAGCGUGGCACAAUAUCCCUUCCCUCAUGGGUUUAAGAAUAUUGUCUUCACCACUUUCUCCGGGGAGACAAGACAAGGGAAGAUGCAGCAACACACAUGGCCCGUUUUAAGGUCCAAUGCGGCCAAUACGGGAAUGAUGAUAUGCUCAAACUCAAACUCUUCGGGACUUCUCUGUCCGGGGCUGCUUUCACCUGGUACUCCAGAUUGAAGCCUGGGUCAAUAGCAGAUUGGCCCACUAUGGAAAGACUCUUCCGAGAAACGUACGGCACGAUUGAGCCUGAAGUUGGCCUUGACUCCCUCACACAGAUGAGCUAGCAGAGCAUGGAGUCCGGAGUUUCUUUCCUCCAACGCUUCAAGAUCCAGCAAGCCAAGUGUGAUUACCUGCUACCUGAGCAGGAAGCCAUUAAGUUGGCUAUUAGAGGUCUGGAGCACCGCCAGCGGUUGAAGCACCAUGGAGAGCACUUUAAUUCCAUGGGUGACCUGAUUAACAAAGUCGACAGCUACGAGCUAAUCCUGAACGAGUUGGACGACAAAACAAAUGCUUCCAAAGGAACCUACAUACCAGGGAAAAACCGGAUAGUGGGGGCACUAAACAAACAAACCCCUACUCAUGAUCCAUAUUAUCAAAGACCUGAGGGAGUUCAUACGGAUCAGGACCUGGAUGACAUUGGCGCAGUAGAAUUGACUGGCAAGCCAUUAGCUCAUAAGUUGAAGAACCUGAAGAUGACACGUGAGCCAAUCACCAUCCAGUCCUUUGCAUGGACCAAGCCGGAGUACGAGUCGUACACCUAUGAUGCUAAGAACGCCCAUUUGGUCUUUAAUGACCUAAUAGAGGCGAGAUAUAUGCGCCUGGAUCAUAAGAUCCCACCCAAGAAAGAGCUGAAGGACAAGAAGUACUGCUCCUUCCACAAUGUUUACAAUCAUGACACCAAAGAUUGUGUCAAGCUUCGAGACCAGCUGCAGACAUGGCUGAACUCAGGCGAGCUAAAGAUGAAAACACCGGGUAGUACGGCCUCGUUGGUUGAUAUAGACCCUUUCCCGCCUGUAGUUGGCAUGGUCGAGGUAAACUGGGCCAAUCAGACCAAGGACGACGAUCGACGCCGGGCACUUAAAAGGGGCCGCGAGGAAGGUGACGACAGUGCCCGCCGGCCACGUCGCCAAUACACCUACAACGAAGAUCUUGCACAUGAGGUUUUAGACGAUCUCAUCGACGAUGGGCUCGUCACAGUGGCUAAUUCCUUGCCUUACGUAGAAUAUAAGGAGGGGCGCAUUCACUGCAAGUUUCAUAAUAGCUGGGGGCACAGAACCAGCGAAUGCCAGCAGCUUAGAGACCAGGUUCAAGACUGGCUCGACCUCGGGUAUAUUCACUUUGAGAAUAAGGGCGACUUCAUGAUCGCAACCGCUGACUUCAUGAUCGCAAUGGCUGACUUCGCUUGGCCUCGAGUCGGCCAGCGAAGAAUCACAUUAGACUUGUCACCAAAUACAAGUUUACGUGAACCGCCAGGCCGAAAUCGCAAACGACCGGCGAAUAACUAUACUGUCCCGAAUAACCAGCAGGGGAAAGCAGACGACCCAGCUUGACAGUUGGUCGCUAAGCUCGGAACAGACCGCCCCUCCCGCAAAGAUAAGGGCAAAGCAGUCAUGAGGGACGAUGGACUGUUCCCCGUUGAAGAUCCCCAGCCUAUGAGUCCCAGGACUCGAGAAGAGCUGGAAAGGAGGAUAGAGCGUCUCGAAACGUUCGUCUAUACACAUUGGGCAGAGGCGGUACCUUCUUCCCCUGCCACAAGUGAGAUAGACAUGUCAGACUCCAGUGGUGAGCGUCACAACAACGAGGCCUCGAGCCCUCGUAAAGGCGUCCUAACCGACCCCUAUAUUCCCCCGACGUCCAAAUUAGCAAUCAAGGAUGGAGUCUGGUACACACAGCAAGGGGGCAAGGCAGUUACCAUCAGCAGGGCUAAGAAGCGAAAGCUCCAAAAGCGAUACGGUAGUAUCCUACGUGCCUUACGGGCUGUCGAAGAGGGCGCUGUACGCCCCUCACAGCUCGCACAGACGCCUGAGCGGAUGUGGAGGGAAGCAGAGGGUUUGCGCGCAUUCCUUCAAAUGCCGCCUGUCACACCCCUAAGGAUUUGCGAGCAGUUCAGCGACGAGCCUGCACCCAAAGCAAACGUCUUUUGCCGACUCGCGGUUCCACCAAAGCAGGAUCCACAGCCUUCCAGGCACAGGCCAUCAUCAGAACCUGAAAGAAGAAAAGAUCCAUAGCCUUCCAGGCGCAGGCCAUCACCAGAACCUGAAAGAAGAAGGGAUCCACAGCCUGCUAGGCCCAAACCGUCACCAAAGCCUGAAAAGAGGAGGGAUCAACAGCCUUCCAGGCGCAGGCCGCCACCGGAGCCUGAGCGGAGAGAGACUCCGCCUACCGGUCCUAGGCGUAAGCUGUUCACAACCCCGGACCCAGAGUCCAAACGCGAACCGUCUCAGCCCUCACGGUAACGGGAACGUCAAAAUCCGGAGGCCAAUAUCAGAAGGGAGCCACCACCACCACAGCAGCCUCGGGCACGGUCUACCCCGGAGCCCGAGACUCAGAUGAUUCCCAGAAUAUCCGUCCUACAACGGUUGAAAAAAGAAGACAACGAUAAGGCUUCUCUGGCAACAGACAAACAACUGGCCAAGGACCAUCAGCCUUCAACCAAGUCAGUAUGGCGUCCGCGGCAACCCGAGGUUCAAGAGCCACCAAUAGCCGCACAGGCGCCCGCCAGUCCUAACCUCGCCCAACAAAUGGCCCAGCGUUUCCGCGAGAAUUCAGAAGACGACGAGGCACAUUCAGAACCUCGACUUGACCUAGAGGAAGACCGGGACGAAGAGCAGGCAGAAUCAUUCACCUGUAAUAUAGUAGAGGUCUCAGGAUGGGAUGCUGAUGAAGGGUUUAGCAGCGAAGCAGACGCUUUCGCGGUACUCGAAAGGGAACACGGGAUCAUUGACACUCCUCUAGUCCCAGUUCCUGAACAAUUCUCCUUUCAAGUCGGAAUGGUGUUCUUCAUUUCGGAAAGAUACGCUCUCCCACCAAACACAACCUGCAGUGCGGCAGCUAUUCCCGUCAGCAGCGAGGAUGUCAGUAGCAUACCCCCGCCAUGCAGCAGCGAAAUGGGCCCAGUUCUGGCACAGGCCGACGACGCCCCACAGGUGGAAAUUACGAGCAGCAUCAAACACAAGCAAACUCUAACCUUCUCCACACCAACUUUAGACAUGGCCACCCACAUGCGGCCACUGUAUAUCACGGCCGAAGUCGAAGGGAAAAUGAUCAACAAGGUCAUGGUCGACACCGGUGCCGCGGUCAAUGUUGUCACAACCCGUACCAUGGGACUCCUAGACAUUCCGCGCUCGAUGAUCCAAACCACGUCAUUAACAGUCAAGAACUUCACCGGGCAAGUGUCUAGAACCCUAGGCUUGCUAUUCCUACGGGUCAAGGUCGGGCCGGCAUCACGGGUUUACACCUUUUUCGUCGCCGAAUGCGCUUCCUCUUACAGCAUGAUUCUUGGCCGAGAUUGGAUCCACAAAGUUUUUGCGUGCCUUCCUCCAUGCACCAAGAACUCAUGAUUUGGGACGCCGAGAACCGUGAAGCGGUCAUCAUCAAAGCUGACCCACGGCCAUUCUCUAUCUCCGCCAACUUCAACGAUGCCCGAUAUUAUACUACAGACUUGGGUCCUUGGAUGUUCAAGGCGUCGAUAACAAGGGCCGCCCAUAUGGAAUCACGGCCUCCAAUUUAACGCGAUGGGGACUUACCCAGGCGAAGGACGACUUGCAACGUCCUCACACCAUCGCGAAUCCCACACCCCGGUCUGAUGAAUAGUGCCUUCUCAGAGGAGGCACGCGAGGCUGGCGAGUCCUUGUGCGAAAG